UGUGUGUUGUGUGUGUGUCAGAUGCGGGCUGUGUGGCGACUGCUAACAACAGUGUUGAGUGGCUGCAGAAGAACUUUGGCCCGUUCUCUCAGUUCGUGUCUCUCACAGAUCUGAUCUCCAUCAACAGACUCUUUGAUCCCUUGGAGACCCUGGACAAUCUCACUCCCAAGCAGGUGGCUGGACUGUUGGUUGAAGAGCUACCUGGUCUCCCAGAGAAGAAAGUCGUCAUCAAUACAGUGUUUGAUCAUCUGUUUGUGUCUCCUGUGGAGCGAGGACUUCCUGAUGUUCUUCAAAACCUGCUCUCAAUCUCACAGAUGACCAUUAUUCCGUGCAGCUCCUACAUACUGAUGUAAGUGUACUUGGUACAUGAUAUUGAGUCUCUGGCCUCUUUGCACUGAGAUCUGCUGUAAUUCUGUGGUUCUUUCUCAGAUUCCAGAGGCUGUUUCAGGCGUUACCUUUCCUGCCGACGGAGAUGGAGACUGUGGUCUUCCAAACAACUGGAGAACUCAAGCAGAAUGGAGCAAGAGACUGUUCACUUCCUGAACCGCCAACAGUACCUGAACCUCCAACAUGUCUGUUCACUCCUGUGAAUGCUACCAGAGUUUGUUCAGGAGUCAACAGUAACGAGACUCUCCUAUCCGCUGCAUCCGUGAGCGCCCCCUGUAGUGUGGACCUGCAGCAAUACAUUUGCUCUUCGCUCACCGGCAUCACUGCUGGAAACCUGGCUGAACUCCUGAAGUGUCAACUUUCAAGCAGCAGAACUUACUCCAAGGAGAUCUGGAAACUAUUUUUCACCAAAGCAAAUGAUGUUCUGGACGGAGCCCUCGUCAUAUUCUCCAGCGCAGCAGCAAAUAUGUCUCAGCCAAUCAGAGGUGAUGUCGUGUCCCAAGUGCUGGAUGUGGUUGGAGAGCUGAGACUGGAGCGCAUCAGUCCUGACCAAUGGACAGACCUCUCUUUCAUCAGCAUGUUGUUGGGUCAAUAUCUGAAGCCGUUUUUACCAUUUGCGUCACCAUCCCUACUGCUGUGCACCAGCAGCAAAAACCUCAGCUGCCAAACUUACCAGCACAUUCUGUCAGAGGUCCCACUCGUCAAUGAGAUUCAAGGAAGAGACAUGGCAAACUUCUUCAUUCUGCCCUUCCUGAGAAGAAACGCAACAGAUGCGGGCUGUGUGGCGACUGCUAACAACAGUGUUGAGUGGCUGCAGAAGAACUUUGGCCCGUUCUCUCAGUUCGUGUCUCUCACAGAUCUGAUCUCCAUCAACAGACUCUUUGAUCCCCUCGAGACCCUGUCUAAUCUCACUCCAGAGCAGAUGGUUGGACUGAUUGUUAAUACUCAGCCUGGUGUGCCACAGAAUUUCAUCAUUAAUACUGUUUUUGAUCAUCUGCUCGUGUCUCCUGUGCAACGAGGAUUUCCAGAUGUUCUUGAGCUCCUUUAUAUUUUCUCCACAAGGAAUCCACUCAGCUGUCAAACCAACCAGAUAAUCUUCACGAGGCUGGAGCAGAUCUUGAGCUCAGGAGCGGGUGAUCUGGAGCCUGUCAUCUGGAAGAGCCUUUAUAACUUCAGCAGCACGGCUCCUGCAGACUGCACUCUUCUUCCAGUCGUGAAUGAGUGUCCCGUGACUCCAUUCAACGAGACUCGGGUGUGCAGCGGAGUGGACAGUUCUGCAGCACAGCAGUGCUUGAACGAAGGACGGAUUUGUGGCUUCAGUAUUGCAGCACAUGCAUGUGCCCCGGUGCUGGAUGUGAACAUGGACUAUCUGGUCACACUACUGAACGCUCAUCUGUCUGUGGAUGACAUGAGCUCAGCUGAGAGCUGGAAACUCUUCCUGACCAGAGUCUCAAACCUGCUGGACGUCGCCCUCCUCCAGCUCUCCAACCAGUCGGUGUGGUGGAGCAGCAGCUCUGCCUCUGUGGCUCUGGACGUCCUGCGGGAGCUGCGUCUGGACAGACUGACGGAUGAGAGCGCUGUAGUGCUGUGGCUCGAUGAACACCUGCGAGCGUUCCUGCCCAGUGCGUCUGGGACGUUCCUGCAGUGUCUGCGCAGCCAGAACCUCAGCUGCCAGAGCUUCCAGACAGUGUAAACAGCCCAGAUCCUCCUCACUUACUCUUUAAACAUUUACAACCAGUCAAACACACUGAGUGAGCAGUGUGUGAAUAUGGAUCUCAGUAUCAGUUUAGAUUUGGAGUCUGAGUGUUGACAUAUUGGUGUGUGUGUGUGUGUGUGUGUGUGUGUGUGAUGAAGGGUUGGGGCGUUCGAUGCAGGAUUUUCCCAUAUGAAUGACGUUCAGCGCCAAACAGUCGUGUCACACUUCAUCGUCCCGUUCCUCUCGAGAGCAGGUACUGAUCAGACGCUCCUCUGUGUGUCAUUCAUCUGUCUGGGUCAGAUCAGCUCAUCAAUAACACUGUACUGCUGUGUGUGUGUGUGUUCAGGUGCGGCGUGUGUCUCCAUCAACAGCUCUCAGUGGCUCAUCAGUAACUUCGGCCAGUUCUCUGCCCUUGUUCCUCUGAAUCAGCUGAUCUCACUCAACCCACAGUUCAACCCGGUACAGUCAUUGAAUCACGUUUACACCACGAACAGUCACUGCAUUCAUCAGGAUUUACUCUAACACACUGGUUCCCAAUCCUGGUCCUGGAGAACCCCCAACACUGCACGCUUUUGGUGUCUCUCUUAUCUGACGCACACACUUGAGGUCUUGGAGUCUCCACUCAUCAGGUGUGUUUGAUUAUGGAGACAUCUCAAAUGUGCAGUGUCGGGGUUCUCCGGGACCAGGAUUGGGAACCACUGCUGUAAAACAUGGUCGUUUUACCUGAGACACAAACUGAGAAAGAUACUGAGGUGUUUUGAUACAUUGAUGUGGGCAUGUCUCUCAGAUUUUAUAUUAAUAAGAGAAAUGUAUGUAUAGAUGAAUUGCUCACAAUAAGAUCUAUUAUGUGUAAUUAGAAAAUGAGGUGAUUUUUCCUUGCAUGCUGACUUUAGCAGGAGAAGAUUCUCUUAGAACAGGAUACAGUUUCUUCCACAGUUUUACUGGAAAACAAGCUUCCGAUUGUUUUUGAAAUGUGUAAGAGUUUUAACUGGAUAUUUCCUCCUUGUCUUGUCUGUUUCCAGAUGAGCAGCCUGCUCUAUCUGUCUCCAGAGCAGCUGGUCGGGCUGAUGUUUGACGACGUUCCUGGUCUUCCAGAGAAAAGUGUGGUCAUCAAUGCCGUGUUCGAUCACCUGACGGCGUCUCCACAGAGAGAGAGGAUCGUCUCCACACUUCCCAUCAUGGUGGAGUCAUCAAAGACAGUAAGAGAGUUUCUCAGGGCACUUCUGCAUCAGUUUCUCAUGGCUGUCGCACUGUUAACACCUGGAUGUGUUUCUCUCUGACAGAGGAACGUCUCCUGCGCAUCAUAUCAGAUCAUGUGAGUGUCGUCAUAUACUGAAUGUGCUUCAUGUGCUGAACCUCACAGUCUCGUGCUCACACAUCUGUCUGUCUGUCUGCUAGCUUCCACCGUCUGGAUCAUCUGAUGGUCAGCGUGCCGGUGGAUCUGGAGUCUGUGAUUCUGAGGAGUAGAUCAGCUCUUCUUCAGAACGUGCCGCAGGGUGAGACCAGAGCACUUUCACUAUCAUGAGACGUUUGAUUUUAGUCACAAGUUCAUCUGAAUUCAGUUCCCUGCUGUUUAGUAUGUAUCAGACAUCACACACACACACACACUCAUGAGUGUGUCUCUCUGUCUCAGGUUGUGUGAGCUCCAGCAGACAGGUGAGUGUUGAAGAUGCUCUGGAGAAUAAGACGAGUGCUUAACUCUACUGAUAGUGCACUUGUAGUGUACUUCAUAUCUUCAACAACGAAAGAAACAGUACUUAAAGAGAGACACUUUCAUGUUUUUUGACACACUUGAGUAUGCUUUUAAACGUUUAAUUUGUAAACAAACUUUAAGUACAUUUAUAAGUGCAUUUCCAAACUGGUUUAAUAAUAUAUUGUUAUGCUUUAAAGAAGUGCACUAAUUUUGAUGUGCUG
This is a long non-coding RNA of Carassius auratus (goldfish), 3997 nucleotides long. Lineage: Eukaryota; Metazoa; Chordata; Actinopteri; Cypriniformes; Cyprinidae. The record is from Ensembl.